This 484-nucleotide ribosomal RNA is filed under the name uncultured bacterium. RNAcentral describes it as "partial 16S ribosomal RNA". It matches the Rfam family "Bacterial small subunit ribosomal RNA", at positions 28 to 523 of the family's 1533-position model. The record is from RNAcentral.
GAUGAACGCUGGCGGCGUGCUUAACACAUGCAAGUCGAACGGUGAAGCAGGAGCUUGCUCUUGUGGAUCAGUGGCGAACGGGUGAGUAACACGUGAGCAACCUGCCCCUGACUCUGGGAUAAGCGCUGGAAACGGCGUCUAAUACUGGAUAUGUGAUGUGACCGCAUGGUCUGCAUCUGGAAAGAAUUUCGGUUGGGGAUGGGCUCGCGGCCUAUCAGCUGGUUGGUGGGGUAAUGGCUCACCAAGGCGUCGACGGGUAGCCGGCCUGAGAGGGUGGCCGGACACACUGGGACUGAGACACGGCCCAGACUCCUACGGGAGGCAGCAGUGGGGAAUAUUGCACAAUGGGCGGAAGCCUGAUGCAGCAACGCCGCGUGAGGGAUGACGGCCUUCGGGUUGUAAACCUCUUUUAGCAGGGAAGAAGCGAAAGUGACGGUACCUGCAGAAAAAGCACCGGCUAACUACGUGCCAGCCGCCGCCGUAA